Molecule: unclassified non-coding RNA, 253 nt
Filed under: uncultured Enterobacteriaceae bacterium
Lineage: Bacteria; Pseudomonadati; Pseudomonadota; Gammaproteobacteria; Enterobacterales; Enterobacteriaceae
Description: contains 16S-23S intergenic spacer region
Rfam family: Bacterial small subunit ribosomal RNA
Source: RNAcentral
UACGGAGGUUGCAAGCGUUAUUCGGAAUUACUGGGCGUAAAGCGCACGCUGGCGGUCUGUCAAGUCGGAUGUGAAAUCCCCGAGCUUAACUUGGGAAUUGCAUUCGAUACUGGGAAGCUAGAGUAUGGGAGAGGAUGGUAGAAUUCCAGGUGUAGCGGUGAAAUGCGUAGAGAUCUGGAGGAAUACCGGUGGCGAAGGCGGCCCCCUGGACAAAGACUGACGCUCAGGUGCGAAAGCGUGGGGAGCAAACAGG